Long non-coding RNA from Callithrix jacchus (white-tufted-ear marmoset), 3625 nucleotides. RefSeq lists it as uncharacterized. Lineage: Eukaryota; Metazoa; Chordata; Mammalia; Primates; Cebidae. The record is from RefSeq and is a predicted model, not a curated record.
UGCACCUGGGAGAAGAGAGGAGGCAUUGUCUGAGUUUCACCCCAACACACACACACACACACACACACACACACACACACACCCCGUCAGAGACUUACCAUGCUCAGUGCCCCCACUGUACACACAGCGAAACUGACAUUGAGGGAAGAGAACAAUUUGUCGCACAUCACUUGGUGAGUGGUGCAGAGACAGAAAUCAGGUCUCCUGACAUCCAGGCAUAAGCCAUGCAGUCACUUGUCACUGGUUCUGAACCCUUUCUGAGCAGGCCAGUAAGGCAGCUUUUUAGUGGCACCAAUUUCUCCCAGCCCAGAACAUAAAGACCCUUUGGAAUGUGACUCCAUGCAAAGGUGAAGGCUCUGUCCCCACCCCUCCAUCUGGGCUGACCUCCUGGCUUGCUGGACUAGUAGAUAUGGCCUGUGUUCUGCUGCCCAGGACCCGGGGCCUUACAGCAUCUGCCUUCACCCUGUUGGGGCCCAGCCCAGCUGCAAGGUCAGAAGCCCAGGCUGGGGAAGAGAGAGGCCUUGCUGUCUCUGCUGGCCCAUCAGUCAGAUGCAGCCGCACGAGCGAGCCCAACAAAGUGAGCAGAGCUGCUAGGUCAACCCACAGAAGCAGGAGAAUCAAUCGUGGCUUUAAGCUACUAAACUUGACAUGGUUUGUCAUGUAGCAAUAGAGACAAGAAGCAGCCAGGCUUAAAGAGUAAAAAAGCUAAAAAAAAGCAAUUAUUUGUCUAAUGUCAUUUCAGAAUCUUAGAAUCUUACAGUUGGGCCACCCCCUCUCAUAACCCCGAGGUUCUAGCCACCAGAGCCCCUGUAAUGCCUCCACUGAUCUGGGGGUGACAAGUGGCCAGCAAUGGCUCUGUCAUCUGGUGCUAUGUCCCCAGUACUGCACCACAGUAAUUGCUCCAAAGUUGCCAAAUGAAUGGAAGAAUGUGACCCAGCCUCUGUUUGCAUACCCGCAGGGAUGGGAGCUCACUCCCUCCAGGAUGAUGUCUUCCAUUAUGAAUGGCUUUGUCUGAAAGAAGAUUCUCCUCCAUCUAGAGCAGAGACCUUUGAUUCCCUCAGGGGUCCUGGCUAUCUUCCUAGGGUCCCCUCUUCUAUAGGACAGCCUUGGCACAUCACAGUGGUCUCUAGCAUUACAAAGCAGCACAACCUCGCUUAAUAACAAGUAUUUUUAGGUAUAUGGUGUCCCCGCCACAGACAGAACCCUAAGGGAAGUGCUUCCACCAGGCCCUAAAACAAGCAUGGGCUCUGGAUCACACAGUUCAGGGUUCUACUCCAACACAACUUCUGCUUGGCCUUGGAAAAGACACUUCAUGUUCCUGAGCCUCGGUUUUCUUACCUGAAAAAUAGGAGAAGUGAAAUUGACUGCCUGGGUUGCUGUGGGGCUUAAAGGGGAGAUGAUGUAUGUAAAAUGCUCAGCACGUAAUCGGUUCUUGAUAAAGGUUAGUUCCUUCUCUGCCAGGUACAUAAACAGUUCCAGAUGGAGAGCUCAUCUGUACUUAGCGUUCAUGUCUAUAUAAAUAAUGUGCAGGUGCGAGAGGAAUUGUCAGGUGGCCAGGGAAGGGGUAGGGUGUUCCUAGCAGGGGAGCAGCAUAAGCAGAGACAAGAAGAAGUUUGCUUUCAGAGAAGGGUAAGUGGGUGGUUUAGUGCUGCUGGCACGACGAGCAUCAGGAAGGAGAAUAAUGGGAGAGGAAGCCAGGCCCAUGCCACAGGGGGGCUUUCAGUGCUGGGCUGGGGAGCUUGGGCUUUGCCAAGGGAGGCAUGGAUGCAGUCUGAAGAGGGUAGGGUAAGGUCAGGUGUGGGAUUCAAGUCUGGGGUUGGAUGGGGAGGUGAGGGCAGAUGGAGCUCCUGGGAGCCUAUCAGGGGAAAUUGGGGUAGCAGCAGGAAUGACUUGGGCCAGUGGAUGGGAGGGGCAGCCUGGCCACUGGGGCAGCAGCUGAGCCAUCUGCAUGGGGACACCUGUUGUGAGAAGCAGGGCUCUUUGUCCUCUGGUCUAGCACCUCUGCCCUGCAUCUUCAGCACCAAGCCCUGUUGGGAAGAGCACUUUUUCUGUCCUUUUCAAUCUAGGAACAGACUGUGAAAGGGAACAGGGGAGAAGACCUGGGCUAGAUCUGUAGCCAGAAGGAUGCAGGGUAGACCAAAGGGGAACUGACUUACCUGUCUGUCAGAGAAGUCCCUCUCAAGGUCCGCUUGCUAAUUUUAUUAACCAUCCCAGACCUCAAACCAAGCUUUCCAGUUUCCUAAGCCCUGCCACACUUAUGGGCAGUCUCCUUUGAGCCUUGCCACUGGCUUGAGGGGGAGGCUGGGCAGAGGGGAUUAGCUCUGUUGUUAAGAUAGGGAGACCUAGGCCCAGAGAGGGCAAGUGACUUACCCAAGAUCACACAGCAAGUGCAUGGCAGAGCUAGCCUGGAACCCAGUUCUCCUGCUUCCCACUCAUAUCCUACUCCCUUUCCACAGCACUGAGGGACAGGCAGGACAUUCUCACUUACCUGCUCUGGGUGAAGAGUGAGGAGAACCAGAGAGAGGUUGACAGCCAUCAGCAGACAACACUUAACCCAAACUGACAAUUUAAUUGUGAAAAUGUGGACGAGGUAUAGUUAUGUGCAAGGAAAUCCAGACAGUCUGGGACCCUGGGGGACCCUGGCCAGCACCCCAGUUGCCGGGGAAACGGGAGAGGGUUGUGGAUGAUGUCACUAGAUUCCAAGGCUGAGGUCUGGGGGUGGGCUCUCCAUCCAGCUCUUUGGGGCUGUGGGCUCUCAUCCUCAUGUUUAACCCCUUCUCUUACAGAUGGGAAACGAGAGCUCCAGGGGGAGGUAGUGACUUGCCCAAGGUCACACAGGGACUCAGUGCCUGAACGAUCCUUGUUCAGGGGCCAUGUUAAUUCAUCUAGCCAGGCUGCAGCCCCCUGAGGGCAGGCUGGGGCAGAGUCACCUAUGAGUCCCCAAGCCCAGCACAGGACCUUGAGAAGGGUGGAUGUUCAACUCUGAGACACUGAGCCCCUUCAGCAAGGGACUGUACCUCCUUCUCUUCCCCAGCCUAACUGUGGACCUGAAUCAGGGUUAGGCUGAACAUGAUGAGUGACUGCAAUGUUGAAUAUCACCGUGGUGGGUCACAGAAAGUCAAAACAGGAAGGAACCCUGGAGAUCAUGAGAUAGUGCUGGCCUCCACUCAGCUGACAGCCUGUAUCCGUUCCUUCUUUGCCUGGUGAUUGUCUGUCUUCCCCACCACGGCAGCUCCAUGCAGGGUCUACUAAAGAGGAGAAGGCAUGGCUCUUGCCCAAGACAAGCUGACAGUCUGAGACUGGUGUGAGGAAGCCACUUGAUCAAGUCUAAGUCUUCAUUUUAUAGUUCAAGAAACCAAGUCUCAGAGGGGGGCAGGGACUUGUCCAAGGUCACACAGCCAAUCCACAGCCCAGACAGUGCUGGAUGCAGUCUCUGGAUUCCUGGCUGGGAGUAUUUCUACAAUAUCCUGCACUUAAACAGUUCCGUUUGGCGGAAGCUCUGCUGUUCUGGAAGAGACGCCAGGCCUUUCCAGAAUCCUGUCCAAGGCUGUCUUCCAGCAUCUGCUGUCAAGGCGCACUCCUUAGGGAGCAGCUGUUGGCAAAGUGAGGGGAGAUAUUGAUUAUG